AGUGAGGAAGACGUGCGCCAUCGGCAGUUGCAUAGAGUUACGAAAGUCAUGUCUAGUUGUUUAGUUAAUAUGGGGAGUUGUCUUUGAGUGUUGUCUGUGCGUUCGUCUACCAUUUUUGGAUAUCGCCGACAAAAGCCCCAGAUCAGAGGCAAAUCGGCGUUUGCUCGGGGAUCGGAAAUCGGCUCUCGAUCGAACCACACAUACCCACUAUCACUCAAUAAAGAACAUUUGAGAGAAGAUCACGUUGUGGUGUUUGGCAACCCCUCAUAAGGAAACGGACAUCACGUUCUAACCGGACACCUUACAGCGAUUCGUACGAUCCGAACCCAGCAAGUCCACCAUUAGCUCACUCCAAACUCCACAUAAUUUACAGCAGCAUUUCCCAAACCUCUCCUGGAGGACCCCUUGUCCUGCAUGUUUUAGAUUUCUCCCUG
Megalops cyprinoides (Indo-Pacific tarpon) is the source of this 434-nucleotide long non-coding RNA. RefSeq lists it as uncharacterized. The transcript has 3 exons. The record is from RefSeq and is a predicted model, not a curated record. NCBI's taxonomy places the organism in Eukaryota, Metazoa, Chordata, Actinopteri, Elopiformes, Megalopidae.